AAAAAAAAAAGGUAAAUAAUAGGGAUAAGUAGUACUCCCUCCGUCCCACCCAGCAUGACCCAGUUUUCUUUUUAGUUUAUUCCACGAAACUUGACCUGUUUCUAAAAAUGGCAAAAAUAAUUCCUUUAUUAACCUUUUCACUUUUUCACCUACCACACAUAACACACAAAAUAUCAAUUUCUUAAUUUUCGUGCCAAAAAGAAAUGAGUCAUGCUUCAUGGGAUGGAGGGAGUAGUGUUAAAUAAUUAAUUACAUAUAAAAAACAUUUCUAGUUCGAAAAAUAAAUACCUUAUAUAUGUAGAGCUAUCCACUGCAUACUUCAAUAGAAUUGAUAACUUUUGAGUUAAUUUGUCACACGAAAUAGAAUUCUGUAGACAUGAAGCAAUCAUAUUAAUAGGGUUGCUUCACGCGAAAGCCAUAAAAAUAGUAUACAAAACCUUUACUAGGGAAAAAAGCAUUAUAGGAUAUGAAAUUUGAGUGAUGGGAGUCAACAAAUUUAGUCAAUUUCUCCAACUGCCCUAAAACCUUUCCCUUCACUGUUUGGUCAAAUAGAGAAUUUUCUUUUAUCAGUUUCCAAGCAACAUCACUUGGUAUUACUAUAUUUUUUUCCAAAUGCCGCCAUAAAAAAUCAUUGUUUAAAAAUGAGAGUUUAAAGUUGUUAAGUUUCUUUAUGUUGAAUAUGGAUGGAAGGAUUGCGAUUUUGAGGGUUAAUCUGAGAAAUAUAUUAAACAUAUGAUAUUUUUACAUUAGUCUGAUCAAUUCCACCGUCAUGAUUACAGUAGUUUAGUUUAAGAACUUAAAAUUGUUAAUAAGCCAAGAUUAUUUAGCCAAUCAAAUAAUUCCAUCAUAAUCAUUCCAUUUGAUCUUAUAUUUCGCACAAAAGAUAGAAUAAGAAAUAGAGUACGAAAUAGACUUUCAUACUAAUAAAAUCCAAAAUUUUGUUUAUGCUUCGACUAAGUGAGUUUUAGUUUGACUGCCAAGCAAGAAAUAAAAAAAGCUACCUACCUUCUGACAAGAACUUUGAAUUCUGGUCACUGAUUGAUGCCAAGAACGUGUUUGUGAUGGCAAUGUUUCUAAGAAAAACUCAUUAAAUGCAUUUUAUUCCUUAGAAAAAAAUUUGUCAUUUUCCUAAUUUUCUAUGAAUUACAAAGUUAUUCUUACUUCUCACAGUGGCUAUUAAAGAGUCAAAGAAGGCGGUGAAAUGCGAUUUUUGUGACAGAUCAAAUGCAUAGCUUACUUGUUCAUCCUAGCUAGAAUUGAAUUUUAGAUAUUAAUUUCAAUGCACGUUAGUGUUACUUUCAUGUAAAUUAAAUUCAACUAAGAGAUACAAAUGCACGUGACACCGAUCUCCAUGUUUUCAACUUGUUGAAAAACUAUAACAUAUUCCGCAUAUAUAUCUUAGAUGCGACACCCUACAGUAGUCAAUGUCAUAUGAUAAUAAUAANAAAAAUGUAGCAAUGUAAAUAAAAAUAUGAAAAUACUAUAGUCAUUUUUUACUUAAAUACUAUAUAUUUUUUCACAAAAAACAAUAUUAUUUACACUGUUACACAAAAAAUUAAUUUGUGUAGAUCAUAUAAGUGCAUACUAGUAAAAAAUAGCUACGUUACUAUUUAUACAUUUUUUUAUCUACAUACAUAGAAUUUCCUUUCGCUAUAUGCGAAAAGUAGAAUUGGAUAUUGUCUUUAUAUCUUGUCAUCCAACUUUACUUUUACAAUGAAUGAGUAACAAUGGAAUGUCCAACUUAUAAAAAAAAUAUAUAUAUAAAUUUUAAUUUUUGAUUUAGGGUUACAUGUGAAUUAUUAUAACCAACACGAACCCCAAAUUUGUUGGCUUCAGUCUAAUGCGACGUGACGUUUAUUAUAUUUAAGCGAAAUAUUUAAUUUGAUGAUCCCAAAAGGUAGUUUGGUGUGGACUGUGGAGCCUUAGACCAUGUUUAUCGGGUAGAAUUUGAGGGACCAGGUCGACCUCUUGUGGAAAAAAAAAAGAAACAAUUCAAAGUGGUCACAAAGAGGUGGUCGACCAACAUAAAAAUCGGACCUCCCUUGGUCUCUCUCUCUCUUCAAAUUUAAUGUAUUGAUGUCAUGACACUUGUAAUAAUAUUAUUGGUGGAGUGGAUUUUAUUUAGAUAAUUGAUAAAAAUCAUUAUAUCUUUUAUAUAAAAUAUCAAAAAAAUAAAAAACUUAUACCAAAAUUUAUAUUUUUUCAUUCUCUAUAAAUAGAGACCACUCUUGGUAUAUUUCAAUACACCUUCAAAUUCUCUCAUUUAUCAUCUCUACAUAUAACUUCUAUUAUUUGCUUCUCUAUUUUUCAAUGAUUGCUUGCAUCAUCAUGCAUAAUAUGAUAGUGGAAGAUGAAAGAAGCACUUACCUUAACUAUCAUGAUCCUACAGAAUUCAUCGAAGAUCGACUAAGACAGAAUACUCGUCGAAGUGAAGAUGAAGAAGAAACUAAUGAUUUCGUAUACUCUACGAAUAGGAUUGCAAGCCUAGCGAGCUAUAUGAGAACUAGGUCCCAACUUCGCAAUCGAGAAGAUCACAGCUCUCUAUUACACGACUUGAUCGAGCAUAUAUGGCAAAAGUUUGGAGAUGAUAAUUAAAUGCGUAGUAUGUAUUUUUUUUUUUCUAUUUCGAGUUUGGAUUGUUGUAAUUUAUAUUUUUAGUUUGUCGUAAUUUAAAUUUUUAUUAUUUUGUUAUUUUUUUAAAUUUUUUUAUAAUAUAUUAAUUUAUAUUUAAUAUUAUUAAAAUUAUUACGAUUAAAAAUAAUAAUAAAAUAAUUAUAAAAUUAUGUUGUGGUUGAGUGGUUGGAUGGUUGGGGUGGUCAUUGAUAAAUGAACAAAAAUAGAGGUGGUUGGGUUGGAUGAAUAUUAGUGAUGUAGAAGAGAGAUAAAGUAAUUAAAUAUUAAAGAUGGUUGGAUGGUUGGGUGGUUGGAUGGUUGCUGAUAAACAUGGUCUUAGUGUUGGUUUGAGACAGGCAUUAAAAUGUUAGCUGCCUAUAGCGAAUUGUGAGUUUGUACGUAUUUUAUGUUAAUCAAUUGAUACAAUAAUUGAACUCCAUCGUUUCUCAUAAUUGUGAAUACUUUAAAGUUUCAACUCCAUCGUUUUUAGGUUCCGUUUUCUUUAAUAAAAUUUCAAUUCAGCAUAAUUGUGAAUACUUUAUAUAAUCUGACUUUAUCUGCGGUCCAAAAUCCAAAAUUGGAAAGCCGACAGGAAAGCGUUUGAUUUACAUUCGCAAAUCGCAAAGCUUAUUUAACUAUCAUUAGAGUGUAAUGUGAAAGUGCGAUCGAAUUUAUUCUUGAGGAUUUUGUAAUAAAUUUCAAACCCUCCAAAUAGUUAUGCAUUUAUGGCGAAUAAGAAUAUGGAGUGUUAUUUAUAGGACCAUCCCACAAAGAAAUUCGGCAAUGAAAUUAAAUAUCGUUCGUGGAAUUUUUGACAUAAAGAGAUUUGCAUGCCACUAAAAAUGGGAGCCAUCUGUAUCCAUAAUUAAUUCCUUGGGUAUAAACUCAAUGUGAUUAUGACAGCCUUUGGGGUCGAGGGUUCUUGUGAAUCUCCCUUUCAAGCAUUUUCAUCAUGAAUUAAUGACACAUGUAUGUAUGAGUAUUUAUUAAAUUUAUUUUACAAUAAAUCUAUGCAUGCAGCCAUGCACAUUGUAGCCGCCCACAAUUUAAUUCAAUAGGAAAAAUUUCAAUUUAUUUAUUUUUUUUAAAAUAGGAUUUAAUUAUUUUAUUGUAUUUUCUACAUUGUAGCUAUUUUUUGUAACUUUGUUUACAUCUUUUAUUUUUAAUAAAAAAUAAAAAAGUUACAAAAAAUUAUUAAAUUAAAAAUAACUACAAACCUUAUUUUAAUUUUAAAAAACAAGUUAAAUAAAUUAAUCUUUUUUCUAUUUAAAUAAUUUAUGGGUGGCCACAACGUGAUAUUUAGCAUCACUAUUUAUUUUAACGUGAUAUUUAGCAUCACUAGCUAUAAUUAACUACUCCCUCCGUCCCACCAUUUUAGUCCCCUCCCACUUUUCACACAUAUUAAGAAAAUGCAUUUAAUUUUUAUAUUUUUAUCUUUUAUACCCUUAUUUAUUAUUUUCACACAUCCUUUUCACAUUUAAGUGAAGCAUUAAAUAAGGUUAAUUUAGUAAAAACAAUAUUUUUAUAUAGUAUUAAUUAAAAAAGUGGACUAUCUUUUUGGGACAUCUCAAAAUGAAAUAAGGGACUAAAAUGGUGGGACGGAUGGAGUACUUCAUUAAAUUCAACACUCUGCUGUACACACACACACGUACAAACUAGCGCAUUAAUGGUGGGACGGUGAUUAUUUGAAUAUGUUUUGCUUUAUGAUGAUUUUAGAUCUUGUAUUUACAAUUAGUGAAUAAAUUUCACUUAAUUUUAGGUAGUAACUGAUAAAUUAUAGAGUAGACUAUAGACAAUGGGCAAAAGCGUACAAGUAUUUGUAAUUAAGUGGGCGUCGGGUGCCUAAGACAAAAUAGACCGGAUUUUGCGAAAGAAUUAAUAUUGAAUAUUCCACCAAAAUUCUUGAAGGUUUAAUCUGACGAAUAAGGUAUAAUCUAUACAUUCACUAAAUAGUAAAUACUUUGAAAAGUUAGUAUUUAGGUCACUAAACCGACAUUAUAACGACAGGAGGAAAAAGUCGGAAAAACGCGUCUUCUUUUACCUUUACAUCUUCACCUUUCUCAUUCUUGCAAUCUAGCCAUCUAUAGGCUAAUAUUAUUUUUAUUUUAUUAAAAAAGAAGCAUAUAUGAAUGUACAGUUAUAGAAAAAAGUGAAUCCAAAUUAAUUCAGGCAACACAAAUUUUAGUGAGGACUAUGACAAAAGAGCCCACACAUAUUAAAAAAGUGUGGGUCCAUGAAUAGUUAUAGACGGACGAAAAUAAGAAAUAGAAAUAUAUUUUCGGGGACGGAGCAAGUAUAAAAUAAAGCGUAACACUAUUUAAUAGCUCUGGUGUGAAUAUAGUCAUAAUACGAGUAUAUAUUUUGUGAUUGUUUAACAUUUGUACAGUGUACGUACUUCUGACUUAGUUGAUUAAUGCAUCAAUUAACGAUAUAACCUGCCUCAACAAUUAACAGAUUAUAUUAAAAUUAAGGUCUUAUUUAUUCCCCUUGGGAGAUUACAUGCAAUUAAUGCGCAUGAGAUACUAAUUGCCCCGAGUUUUGUCACGGUUAAGCAAUAUACGUGUCGCUAAUUACAAGAAUAUCUGAGAUUAAUAAAGAAUAAUAAAAAAAAAUUAUUUGGCUUCGAAACAUUAAGCCCCCGUGCACAUAUUCCGCAGCAAAAUGCUACGGACAAAUCUAGUUUAGACUGUCUCAAUUUUUUUGUAUAGUUUCAUAGUGUAUUUCAUAUAAUAAGAUAACGUUAGCAUGUGACAAAUAAUUCCAACAAGAAAAUAUGACUGAAUUUUUCAUUGAGAUACCAUUUCAAUUAGCAAAUACUAUGAUUUUGAUACAUUGGACCUACUCAUGAUAUGAACAACAAGGAUCGACAAGUAGCAUCAAGAAGAUGCAAUAGUGGAAGGAUAUAAUUAAAUUGAAUAAAUCGAAAAAAAAAGAAAGAAAUAGAAUAAGAAACUAUCAACCUAAAUCAAAUUCUAUACAUGAAUUCACAUGUGUAAUUAUCUAAUCUAGCGACUCAUGAACAAGGCUUUUUGCCCACAAAUUAAAAGAAUUCAAAAUUGUGAAGGGAUCAAUAUAAUAUUAUAAAUUAAAAAUAUAUAUAUAGUGGGAUUCUAGUGGCCAACUCCGGGGCUGGGGACGGAGCGCAGAAUCCGAUCGAGGGCGGCGAGGUGGCGGGCGAUGAGCUUUUGGUCAAAGGUGGCGGCGUGGCCUCUCUUGCUGGGGGCGGACGCCGCCACCUUCCCCUUCGGAAGCGCCGCCAGAUACAAGCUGUCUGCCGCAGAUGGAAUAUUGCUGUGUUCCACCUUCAUCAAUAGCUUUCUUCCGUGUGCACACGACACCAAACUGCAAAGUAUGAGCAUGCCCAAUCACAAAUACUACACCUUUUAGAGCCAUUUAUGUUGCAAUUAUGGCAACAAACUUCUUCUUCUUCUAGAGAGAGAUAUAAAGAGAGAGAGAGAGAGAGAUUUUGAUUGGGAGGGAGGAGGAGUUUGUAGGGAUUGGAGGAUGUAUAUAUAGAGAAAGUGGGAACUU
This 6144-nucleotide long non-coding RNA is filed under the name Salvia miltiorrhiza (redroot sage). RNAcentral describes it as "long non-coding RNA (SMIL_LNC000770)". Lineage: Eukaryota; Viridiplantae; Streptophyta; Magnoliopsida; Lamiales; Lamiaceae. The record is from RNAcentral.